Molecule: long non-coding RNA, 688 nt
Filed under: Linum usitatissimum (flax)
Lineage: Eukaryota; Viridiplantae; Streptophyta; Magnoliopsida; Malpighiales; Linaceae
Description: long non-coding RNA (LUSI_LNC003993)
Source: RNAcentral
GUUAUUAAAGCUCCUGCAUUUCCCGUCUCUUGUGCCUGUUAAUUUGGUUUGUAAGUGACGUAAAAUGAAGUAUGUCAUAAUUAGUGAUAAAAAGUGAGGAUACGGUUUCAGUGACGCUGAUGAGUGACUGAGGUCUCUUCUUAGUUUAUAAUGACUGGUUCAUACUGCAAAUGGGAGAAUGACGUUUGAGGAUAUCCUUUUUAUGGCAUAUUUUUUUUUCUCAAGAGAUGAACCUAAUCAGUUGAAUCCUUAUGGUCCUUGUUUGUUUUGCUUCAGGUGUGCCCCGUCUGCGCUAAAAGAGUGGGAUUGGAUAUCGUUGGCCAUAUUACUACGCAGCAUCAGAGUUUAUUUAAGAUAUCCUUUUCCUAAACUCUAUAGUCUAAUGCAGUUUCCUUCUUUUAUCAAUCAUUUGGGUGAUUGUGCUCUAAGUAGUUCACCUGUUGAAUUGUAUGGGAUAAAAACAUAUUGUAUUCUUUAUAUCCAUGCUCUAUCAACUGGCUCUAUUUUCUUACUGUUCGUACACUGGGAUUCCUUGACUGGAGCAUUACGUGCAGCGUAAGAGACGAUUGCGUAAAGGUGGAUCUAACUCGACAUUCUCUUCACUGUUGAAGAAAGAACUCCGCGAUGGCAGCUUACAGUCACUCCUCGGGGGUUCUUCCUAUGUCUCCAGUACAGAGCCUGAUCCGUU